GCAUAUCAAUAAGCGGAGGAAAAGAAACCAACAGGGAUUGCCUUAGUAGCGGCGAGUGAAGCGGCAAAAGCUCAAAUUUGAAAUCUGGCUCUUUCAGAGUCCGAGUUGUAAUUUGAAGAAGGUAUCUUUGGGUCUGGCUCUUGUCUAUGUUUCUUGGAACAGAACGUCACAGAGGGUGAGAAUCCCGUGCGAUGAGAUGAUCCAGGCCUAUGUAAAGUUCCUUCGAAGAGUCGAGUUGUUUGGGAAUGCAGCUCUAAGUGGGUGGUAAAUUCCAUCUAAAGCUAAAUAUUGGCGAGAGACCGAUAGCGAACAAGUACAGUGAUGGAAAGAUGAAAAGAACUUUGAAAAGAGAGUGAAAAAGUACGUGAAAUUGUUGAAAGGGAAGGGCUUGAGAUCAGACUUGGUAUUUUGUAUGUUACUUCUUCGGGGGUGGCCUCUACAGUUUAUCGGGCCAGCAUCAGUUUGGGCGGUAGGAGAAUUGCGUUGGAAUGUGGCACGGCUUCGGUUGUGUGUUAUAGCCUUCGUCGAUACUGCCAGCCUAGACUGAGGACUGCGGUUUAUACCUAGGAUGUUGGCAUAAUGAUCUUAAGUCGCCCGUCUUGAAACACGGACCA
Molecule: ribosomal RNA, 614 nt
Filed under: Candida tropicalis
Lineage: Eukaryota; Fungi; Ascomycota; Pichiomycetes; Serinales; Debaryomycetaceae
Description: eukaryotic LSU rRNA
Rfam family: Eukaryotic large subunit ribosomal RNA
Source: RNAcentral